This 433-nucleotide ribosomal RNA is filed under the name uncultured bacterium. Its description in RNAcentral is "partial 16S ribosomal RNA". It matches the Rfam family "Bacterial small subunit ribosomal RNA", at positions 29 to 507 of the family's 1533-position model. The record is from RNAcentral.
AGCGAACGCUGGCGGCAGGCUUAACACAUGCAAGUCGAGCGGACCUUUCGGGGUCAGCGGCGGACGGGUGAGUAACGCGUGGGAACGUGCCUUCCGGUUCGGAAUAACCCUGGGAAACUAGGGCUAAUACCGGAUACGCCCUUAUGGGGAAAGGUUUACUGCCGGAAGAUCGGCCCGCGUCUGAUUAGCUAGUUGGUGGGGUAACGGCCUACCAAGGCGACGAUCAGUAGCUGGUCUGAGAGGAUGAUCAGCCACACUGGGACUGAGACACGGCCCAGACUCCUACGGGAGGCAGCAGUGGGGAAUAUUGGACAAUGGGCGCAAGCCUGAUCCAGCCAUGCCGCGUGAGUGAUGAAGGCCUUAGGGUUGUAAAGCUCUUUUAUCCGGGACGAUAAUGGCGGUACCGGAGGAAUAAGCCCCGGCUAACUUCGUG